GUCCAUGCCGUAAACGUUGGGCGCUAGGUGUGGGGACCUUCCACGGUUUCCGUGCCGCAGCUAACGCAUUAAGCGCCCCGCCUGGGGAGUACGGCCGCAAGGCUAAAACUCAAAGGAAUUGACGGGGGCCCGCACAAGCGGCGGAGCAUGCUGAUUAAUUCGAUGCAACGCGAAGAACCUUACCUGGGUUUGACAUAUGCCGGAAAGCUGCAGAGAUGUGGCCUCCUUUUGGCCGGUAUACAGGUGGUGCAUGGCUGUCGU
Molecule: ribosomal RNA, 261 nt
Filed under: uncultured bacterium
Lineage: Bacteria
Description: partial 16S ribosomal RNA
Rfam family: Bacterial small subunit ribosomal RNA
Source: RNAcentral